GACGGAGGAUGCAAGUGUUAUCCGGAAUCACUGGGCGUAAAGCGUCUGUAGGUGGUUAAAUAAGUCAAUUGUUAAGUCUUGAGGCUCAACCUCAAAAUUGCGAUCGAAACUAUUUGACUAGAGUAUAGUAGGGGUAAAGGGAAUUUCCAGUGGAGCGGUGAAAUGCGUAGAGAUUGGAAAGAACACCGAUGGCGAAAGCACUUUACUGGGCUAUUACUGACACUGAGAGACGAAAGCUAGGGUAGCAAAUGGG
This 253-nucleotide ribosomal RNA is filed under the name uncultured bacterium. RNAcentral's name for it is "partial 16S ribosomal RNA". It matches the Rfam family "Bacterial small subunit ribosomal RNA", at positions 524 to 776 of the family's 1533-position model. The record is from RNAcentral.